Molecule: long non-coding RNA, 860 nt
Filed under: Gallus gallus (chicken)
Lineage: Eukaryota; Metazoa; Chordata; Aves; Galliformes; Phasianidae
Source: RNAcentral
GCGAACAUAUCUCUCCCACCACCUGCACGGCUAAAUGCUAUGUCAUACACCUCUUUGUCAUGUGCAAUAAGCUGGGUCUUGACAUGGCCAGAGACCAGGUUUACUCUUCCCAGAACCUGUCCUGUUUCCAGACCCCAAAUAGUGCAGGUUGUGUCAAUGCUAGAAGUACCAAGGAGGUAAGGAUCCACUUCAUUCCAGUCAAACGAUGUUAGUGGAGCACAGAAGUCAGAGUUCUUGUUAUUGUUCAGCAAACACUCCAGCCGGGUCUCUGUUUCACCCACUCUCCACACACGCAGAUAGUCACCACUGGUUGCCAGCAGGUCUGGAUACACUCCCUUGGUGUCUGGGAUCCACAUGAGCUUUGUGGUGGGGUAGGGGUGAUCAAAGGUGUUCCUGCAGAUGAACUCUGAACUCUCUUCAUCCAAACCAACAAGCUGUACCUUGUUGUUGUACUCCUCCACAAAGCUGCCCAGCGCCAGGCGGAACCGCUUGUCCGGCCGCACGCUCCAGUUCAUGGCGUAUACGGUCCAGGGCGCCUCAUAUUUGUAGAUCUCCUUCCGUUUGCCGUGCAGCGACAUGGCUCGGCCGAGGGGGCCCCGCUGGGGCUGAGGGGAGCAGCGGGCUCGGCAGAGAUGGGGCCCGAGCUGAGCUCGGCGCGAGGCUGAUGGGAGCGCAGGGCCCGGCCGAGGGGAGCGGGAGGGCGGGGAGGGCCGAGGGGAAGGGGAGCGAGGCCGGAGUGGCAGCGGGGAGCGGGGGAAACCGCAGCACGGCGCCGCGCCCCCAGGCCCGGCUUCAGACCCCGGAGACGGCGAGAGAAGCGCGGAGGCCGUUCGCGAUUCGGCCCUCACACAACGGGAGCG